UACGUAGGGUGCAAGCGUUGUCCGGAAUUAUUGGGCGUAAAGAGCGUGUAGGCGGCUUGAUAAGUCUGCUGUGAAAGUCCAGGGCUCAACCCUGGAAUGCCGGUGGAUACUGUCAAGCUAGAGUCCGGAAGGGGCGAGUGGAAUUCCUGGUGUAGCGGUGAAAUGCGCAGGUAUGAGGAGGAACACCAAUGGCGAAGGCAGCUCGCUGGGACGUAACUGACGCUGAGACGCGAAAGCGUGGGGAGCAAACAGG
This 253-nucleotide ribosomal RNA is filed under the name uncultured bacterium. RNAcentral describes it as "partial 16S ribosomal RNA". It matches the Rfam family "Bacterial small subunit ribosomal RNA", at positions 524 to 776 of the family's 1533-position model. The record is from RNAcentral.